GGGUCUGUAGCUCAUCUGGGAGAGCGCCUGAUUUGCAUUCAGGAGGCAACGAGUUCAAGUCUCGUCAGAUCCACCA
This 76-nucleotide transfer RNA is filed under the name Syntrophobacteraceae bacterium. Its description in RNAcentral is "tRNA-Ala". It matches the Rfam family "tRNA". From Rfam's summary of the family: Transfer RNA (tRNA) molecules are approximately 80 nucleotides in length. Lineage: Bacteria; Pseudomonadati; Thermodesulfobacteriota; Syntrophobacteria; Syntrophobacterales; Syntrophobacteraceae. The record is from RNAcentral.